AACAACAUAUUGAGGUGUAAGGAGGAAUAAGGAGGGAAAGAGUAUAAUUAUAAAUACUUCUAUUUCUACAUCCCUUAAUUUUAACUCUACUUCACCCCUUCCCAAACAUAAAAAAAUAUGUUUACUCUCCUUAACUUUCCAUUAAUUCACUCUUUCUCAAACAUGAGAUUUAUUUUAUUAUAACUCUUCUUACACUUUCCCUCCCUUACCCUUACUUAGCCCUUACCCUUCUAUUGUUUACCCUUCCCUCACCUCACCCAAACAUACCCUAAGGGGCAUGGAAAUGAAAUCCGCAUAUGAGUCAAGGCGGUAUAAAAUUUACUGAAUAAUGCAUAGCACUUUCUCUACCACCAACUCUGUCAGAGGCUUGAAUUACAAAUCGCAACUAAUGCCAACUUCACAUAACCUUUUGAUUAGUUUUGAAACAGAUCACGGUCCUAAUGAAAGCAGAUAUAUUAAUUCACAUUAAUACUUGAAACAAAA
This 483-nucleotide unclassified non-coding RNA is filed under the name Hevea brasiliensis (rubber tree). The record is from RNAcentral. Lineage: Eukaryota; Viridiplantae; Streptophyta; Magnoliopsida; Malpighiales; Euphorbiaceae.